AUCCAGCUGACGAGUUCCGAAUAGGAGGAAAUGUGCCUCCUGGAU
Molecule: non-coding RNA, 45 nt
Filed under: Trichobilharzia regenti
Lineage: Eukaryota; Metazoa; Platyhelminthes; Trematoda; Strigeidida; Schistosomatidae
Source: RNAcentral